AGGCUUGAACAAAUAGGAUUACAUGGUGGGGGGUCAUUUUUCGCUGGUUUGAGCGGGGGUGGAUGUAUAGCUGUAACCGGCAGUGACGUAGCGGUAGUUAAUUUACUUGUUAAUUGGUUGCUUGUGUUUAAAUUAUGUCGCUUUUAAAGUAAUUUUCGGUGAAGGAAGGUCAUAGUGAAAUAUGGCGUAAUGAUACUAUAUGACGCGAGGAGUGAAUGUGGCGUGUGUGAAACUUAGCAAAAGCUCAUUUUGAAGUCAUUCACGAGCUUCACGAGGGACUUCUUGAAACACAAAUCUGGCAUAAAGCAUGUUAUAGCACAGUGAAACUUCUUCACUUCUUCAUAAAGCUGCCACGUCCAAGUCCCAGUUGUUCAAGUCCUGUGAAUGAGGUGGCCACUCGUUAAGAUAAGACAUGCUAAAGAUUCUGAUAGCCGUGAAAUGCUUACGUGUGUAAGGUGAAAGUGGACAUAAAAGAACUAUAAUCAUCCAUACCGGAAGACUGAAGAAAUUAUCAGAAUAUGAAUGAAUAUUUCUGCUGUCUUUUGAAAUGAUCUUCCUGGUUACGAUUGGAGGACCUCUUCAAAAGGACUGCAUAAUGGCUGACUGCAAGCAGAAUUCAAGUGCUGGAAAUUUCAACACGG
Cryptotermes secundus is the source of this 641-nucleotide long non-coding RNA. RefSeq lists it as uncharacterized. The transcript has 3 exons. The record is from RefSeq and is a predicted model, not a curated record. NCBI's taxonomy places the organism in Eukaryota, Metazoa, Arthropoda, Insecta, Blattodea, Kalotermitidae.